This 74-nucleotide transfer RNA is filed under the name Planctomycetaceae bacterium. RNAcentral describes it as "tRNA-Val". It matches the Rfam family "tRNA". From Rfam's summary of the family: Transfer RNA (tRNA) molecules are approximately 80 nucleotides in length. Their secondary structure includes four short double-helical elements and three loops (D, anti-codon, and T loops). The record is from RNAcentral. Lineage: Bacteria; Pseudomonadati; Planctomycetota; Planctomycetia; Planctomycetales; Planctomycetaceae.
GGGCGGCUAGCUCAGUUGGUUAGAGCGUUGCUUUCACACGGCAGAGGUCACAGGUUCGAAUCUUGUGCCGCCCA